CCUACGGGAGGCAGCAGUGGGGAAUAUUGCGCAAUGGGGGAAACCCUGACGCAGCAACGCCGCGUGAGUGAGGAAGGACUUCGGUCUGUAAAGCUCUGUUAAUGUGGAAAAAUGGUAGUUGGUCUAAUAGGCCGAUUAUUUGAUGGUACACAUAGAGGAAGCACCGGCUAACUUCGUGCCAGCAGCCGCGGUAAUACGAAGGGUGCAAGCGUUGUUCGGAUUUAUUGGGCGUAAAGCGCGCGUAGGCGGACCUGUAAGUCAGAUGUGAAAUCUCGGGGCUCAACCUCGAAACUGCGUCUGAAACUGCAGGUCUAGAAUCUCGGAGGGGGAAGGGGAAUUUCGCAUGUAGGGGUAAAAUCCGUAGAUAUGCGAAGGAACACCAGAGGCGAAGGCGCCUUCCUGGACGAGUAUUGACGCUGAGGCGCGAAAGCGUGGGGAUCAAACAGGAUUAGAUACCCUGGUAGUCCACGCUGUAAACCUAUGAACACUAGGUAUUGGAGGAUUUGACCCCUUCAGUGCCGUAGCUAACGCGUUAAGUGUUCCGCCUGGGAAGUACGGUCGCAAGACUAAAACUUCAAAUGAAUUGACGG
Molecule: ribosomal RNA, 590 nt
Filed under: uncultured bacterium
Lineage: Bacteria
Description: bacterial SSU rRNA
Rfam family: Bacterial small subunit ribosomal RNA
Source: RNAcentral